GGCCUCUCUCCCAUGGGACUGUGAAGGGUCCCUUUUCUCCUCACCCAGGGCUGGAGGCCAAGAUCAGCCCUUGAGGAUCAUUGUUGGGGCUUGCAAUGAGCUGGCAGCCUUGUUUUCCAGUCUCAGACAGCG
Molecule: non-coding RNA, 132 nt
Organism: Leptonychotes weddellii (Weddell seal)
Lineage: Eukaryota; Metazoa; Chordata; Mammalia; Carnivora; Phocidae
Source: RefSeq, a predicted model, not a curated record